UACGAGGGGUGCAAGCGUUGCUCGGAAUCAUUGGGCGUAAAGGGCAGGUAGGUGGUCUCAUUUGUCUGGGGUGAAAUCCUUGGGCUUAACCCAAGAACUGCCCCAGAAACGGUGAGACUCGAGUCCUGGAGAGGGUCGUGGAAUUCCCGGUGUAGCGGUGAAAUGCGUAGAGAUCGGGAGGAACACCAGAGGCGAAGGCGGCGACCUGGACAGGUACUGACACUCAACUGCGAAAGCGUGGGGAGCAAAC
RNAcentral lists this ribosomal RNA (250 nucleotides) under uncultured bacterium. RNAcentral describes it as "partial 16S ribosomal RNA". It matches the Rfam family "Bacterial small subunit ribosomal RNA", at positions 524 to 773 of the family's 1533-position model. The record is from RNAcentral.